Long non-coding RNA from Mytilus californianus (California mussel), 533 nucleotides. RefSeq lists it as uncharacterized. The record is from RefSeq and is a predicted model, not a curated record. The transcript has 3 exons. NCBI's taxonomy places the organism in Eukaryota, Metazoa, Mollusca, Bivalvia, Mytilida, Mytilidae.
AUCACAUCUACAAGUCUCGAUCACACAGAAUUUGUACUUACAAAUGUGAACUAUGACAAAGAUGUUCACGCAGGACGUCACCUCAGAAUUAGCUUCGCAGCAACUACAAAAUGUGGCAUCCCACCUCCAACAGCAAAUGUAACCAUAGACGUUCCGAGUACAACUGUAGGGACCAGAACAAGUUCGGAUGGAACACAGUCGUCUAGUACAAUAGGAAGUACACAGCUACCGUUUGAGGCAACUGUAGGACAGCAAUCAUCAGUUCAAAGUACAGAAGUAAAACUUUCACCGAGUCAAUCUGGGACAACAACAAAACCAACCGUGAUAACAAAAACAGUAGGAACGCAUGGGUCAGUUGGGAAUCUUUGUGUCGAUGAUACAUUCUUCAACUGCCAGGAACCUGGUGUGUGUACGUCGAUGUACAAAGAGCAUUGUUCUUAUAGUUGUGGCCGAUGUGGUACAGGAUCUUUUUCUAAGCUGCAGACGACGACAUUUAAACCAUUAUCAACAGGAUGGUUGCAUAUUUUAGGGAA